AACGAACGCUGGCGGCAUGCCUAACACAUGCAAGUCGAACGAGACCUUCGGGUCUAGUGGCACACGGGUGCGUAACGCGUGGGAAUCUGCCCUUGGGUUCGGAAUAACAGUGAGAAAUUACUGCUAAUACCGGAUGAUGACGAAAGUCCAAAGAUUUAUCGCCCAAGGAUGAGCCCGCGUAGGAUUAGCUAGUUGGUAAG
RNAcentral lists this ribosomal RNA (200 nucleotides) under uncultured bacterium. Its description in RNAcentral is "partial 16S ribosomal RNA". It matches the Rfam family "Bacterial small subunit ribosomal RNA", at positions 29 to 256 of the family's 1533-position model. The record is from RNAcentral.